AUUGAACGCUGGCGGCAGGCCUAACACAUGCAAGUCGAGCGGAUGAAGGGAGCUUGCUCCUGGAUUCAGCGGCGGACGGGUGAGUAAUGCCUAGGAAUCUGCCUGGCAGUGGGGGAUAACGUCCGGAAACGGGCGCUAAUACCGCAUACGUCCUGAGGGAGAAAGUGGGGGAUCUUCGGACCUCACGCUAUCAGAUGAGCCUAGGUCGGAUUAGCUAGUUGGUGGGGUAAAGGCCUACCAAGGCGACGAUCCGUAACUGGUCUGAGAGGAUGAUCAGUCACACUGGAACUGAGACACGGUCCAGACUCCUACGGGAGGCAGCAGUGGGGAAUAUUGGACAAUGGGCGAAAGCCUGAUCCAGCCAUGCCGCGUGUGUGACGAAGGUCUUCGGAGUGUAAAGCACUUUAAGUUGGGAGGAAGGGCAGUAAGUUAAUACCUUGCUGUUUUGACGUUACCAACAGAAUAAGCACCGGCUAACUACGUG
RNAcentral lists this ribosomal RNA (484 nucleotides) under uncultured bacterium. Its description in RNAcentral is "partial 16S ribosomal RNA". It matches the Rfam family "Bacterial small subunit ribosomal RNA", at positions 30 to 507 of the family's 1533-position model. The record is from RNAcentral.